AGUGAACGCUGGCGGUAGGCCUAACACAUGCAAGUCGAACGGCAGCACAGUAAGAGCUUGCUCUUACGGGUGGCGAGUGGCGGACGGGUGAGGUAUACAUCGGAAUCUACUUUUUCGUGGGUGAUAACGUAGGGAAACUUACGCUAAUACCGCAUACGACCUACGGGUGAAAGCAGUGGAUCUUCGGACCUUGCGCGAUUGAAUGAGCCGAUGUCGGAUUAGCUAGUUGGCGGGGUAAAGGCCCACCAAGGCGACGAUCCGUAGCUGGUCUGAGAGGAUGAUCAGCCACACUGGAACUGAGACACGGUACAGAGUCCUACGGGAGGCAGCAGUGGGGAAUAUUGGACAAUGGGCGCAAGCAUGAUCCAGCCAUACCGCGUGGGUGAAGAAGGAAUUCGGGUUGUAAAGCCCUUUUGUUGGGAAAGAAAAGCAGCAGGUUAAUAACCCGCUGUUAUGACGGUACCAAAAGAAUAAGCACCGGCUAACUUCGUG
This 492-nucleotide ribosomal RNA is filed under the name uncultured bacterium. RNAcentral's name for it is "partial 16S ribosomal RNA". It matches the Rfam family "Bacterial small subunit ribosomal RNA", at positions 29 to 507 of the family's 1533-position model. The record is from RNAcentral.